RNAcentral lists this ribosomal RNA (430 nucleotides) under uncultured bacterium. Its description in RNAcentral is "bacterial SSU rRNA". It matches the Rfam family "Bacterial small subunit ribosomal RNA", at positions 355 to 775 of the family's 1533-position model. The record is from RNAcentral.
UGGGGAAUUGUUCGCAAUGGGCGCAAGCCUGACGACGCAACGCCGCGUGGAGGAUGAAGAUCUUCGGGUCGUAAACUCCUGUCGAGUGGGACGAACGGUCCGCGGGUGAACAAUCCGCGGAAGUGACGGUACCACUAAAGGAAGCCCCGGCUAACUCCGUGCCAGCAGCCGCGGUAAUACGGGGGGGGCAAGCGUUGUUCGGAAUUACUGGGCGUAAAGGGCUCGUAGGCGGCCAUCUAAGUCAGACGUGAAAUCCCCCGGCUUAACCGGGGAACGGCGUCUGAUACUGGACGGCUUGAAUCCGGGAGAGGGAUGCGGAAUUCCAGGUGUAGCGGUGAAAUGCGUAGAUAUCUGGAGGAACACCGGUGGCGAAGGCGGCAUCCUGGACCGGUAUUGACGCUGAGUGAGCGAAAGCCAGGGGAGCAAACGG